Molecule: ribosomal RNA, 472 nt
Filed under: uncultured bacterium
Lineage: Bacteria
Description: bacterial SSU rRNA
Rfam family: Bacterial small subunit ribosomal RNA
Source: RNAcentral
UGGGGAAUUUUGGACAAUGGGCGAAAGCCUGAUCCAGCAAUGCCGCGUGAGUGAAGAAGGCCUUCGGGUUGUAAAGCUCUUUUGUCAGGGAAGAAACGGUGAGAGCUAAUAUCUCUUGCUAAUGACGGUACCUGAAGAAUAAGCACCGGCUAACUACGUGCCAGCAGCCGCGGUAAUACGUAGGGUGCAAGCGUUAAUCGGAAUUACUGGGCGUAAAGCGUGCGCAGGCGGUUUUGUAAGUCUGAUGUGAAAUCCCCGGGCUCAACCUGGGAAUUGCAUUGGAGACUGCAAGGCUAGAAUCUGGCAGAGGGGGGUAGAAUUCCACGUGUAGCAGUGAAAUGCGUAGAUAUGUGGAGGAACACCGAUGGCGAAGGCAGCCCCCUGGGUCAAGAUUGACGCUCAUGCACGAAAGCGUGGGGAGCAAACAGGAUUAGAUACCCUCGUAGUCCCUGAGCGGGCUGGCAAGGCGCAU